UCUACGGGGGGCUGCAGUGGGGAAUAUUGGGCAAUGGGCGCAAGCCUGACCCAGCAACGCCGCGUGAAGGAAGAAGGCUUUCGGGUUGUAAACUUCUUUUAAGAGGGAAGAGCAGAAGACGGUACCUCUUGAAUAAGCCACGGCUAACUACGUGCCAGCAGCCGCGGUAAUACGUAGGUGGCAAGCGUUGUCCGGAUUUACUGGGUGUAAAGGGUGCGUAGGCGGGCUUUUAAGUAUGCGGUAAAAAUUCGGGGCUCAACCCCGUCCGGCCGUUGAGACUGGGGGCCUUGAGUGGGCGAGAGGAAGGCGGAAUGCGUGGUGUAGCGGUGAAAUGCAUAGAUAUCACGCAGAACCCCGAUUGCGAAGGCAGCCUUCCGGCGCCCUACUGACGCUGAGGCACGAAAGUGCGGGGAUCGAACAGGAUUAGAUACCCGGGUAGUC
RNAcentral lists this ribosomal RNA (441 nucleotides) under uncultured bacterium. RNAcentral's name for it is "partial 16S ribosomal RNA". It matches the Rfam family "Bacterial small subunit ribosomal RNA", at positions 338 to 795 of the family's 1533-position model. The record is from RNAcentral.